RNAcentral lists this long non-coding RNA (1106 nucleotides) under Sparus aurata (gilthead seabream). Its description in RNAcentral is "lncRNA (ENSSAUG00010010369.1)". The record is from RNAcentral. Lineage: Eukaryota; Metazoa; Chordata; Actinopteri; Spariformes; Sparidae.
UACAUGCUCCCUCUAGCUCAAAUAAUGGAAAACAAUGAAAUUUGCUACCAUAGUUAUGCAGAUGACACACAAAUUUACAUAACCAUAUCACCAGGGGACUAUAAUCCCAUACAUAUCCUGAGUAGAUGCAUCGAACAAAUCAAUGAUUGGAUGUGUCAGAGUUUUCUUCAGUUAAACAAAGAUAAGACUGAAAUAAUUGUUUUUGGAUCCAAGGAAGAACGACUUAAAGUCUCUGCUCAGCUUCAGUCUGUAAUGUUGAAAACUACAGACCAAGUCAGAAACCUUGGUGUGACUAUGGACUCAGACAUGAAUUUCAGCAGCCAUAUUAAGACAGUUACAAAGUCAGCCUACUAUCACCUUAAGAAUAUAUCCAGGAUAAGAGGGCUUAUGUCUCGGCAGGAUUUGGAGAAACUUGUUCACGCAUUUAUCUUCAGCAGACUCGACUACUGUAAUGGUGUCCUUACAGGACUCCCUAAAAACUCCAUCAGACAGCUGCAGCUGAUUCAGAACGCUGCUGCUCGAGUCCUAACAAGAACCAAAAAAGUAGAUCACAUCACUCCAGUUCUUAGAUCUUUACACUGGCUUCCUGUCUAUCAAAGAAUAGAUUUCAAGGUCCUGUUGUUGGUUUAUAAAGCAUUGAAUGGUUUCGGGCCAAAAUACAUUUCUGAUCUGCUGCCGCGUUAUGAACCAUCCAGACCUCUGAGAUCGUCAGGUACCGGUCUGCUUUCAGUCCCCAGAGUCAGAAGUAAACAUGGAGAAGCAGCUUUCAGUUACUAUGCGCCACAUAUUUGGAACAAACUCCCUGAAAAUUGCAGGUCUGCUCCAACACUCACCUCUUUUAAAUCAAGACUUAAAACAUUUCUUUUUGCCACUGCUUUUAACUGAAGCAAUUCAAGUCUUUGAACUGCAUUAUUACUCUGAGUUUUUUUUUUUUUUUUUAUAAUGCAAUUUUUAAUGUCUUUUAAAUGAAAUGUUUAUGUCUUUUAAUGUAAUUUGUGUGUGCCUGUAAAGCACUUUGAGUUGCCUUGUGUCUGAAUUGUGCUAUACAAAUAAACUUGCCUUGCCUUGCCUUGCCUUACUAUCAUUGUGUAAAGUUUCCUUUUGAU